GACGAACGCNGGCGGCGUGCUUAACACAUGCAAGUCGAACGAAGAGCGAUGGAAGCUUGCUUCUAUCAAUCUUAGUGGCGAACGGGUGAGUAACGCGUAAUCAACCUGCCCUUCAGAGGGGGACAACAGUUGGAAACGACUGCUAAUACCGCAUACGAUCUAAUCUCGGCAUCGAGGAUAGAUGAAAGGUGGCCUCUACAUGUAAGCUAUCACUGAAGGAGGGAAUUGCGUCUGAUUAGCUAGUUGGAGGGGUAACGGCCCACCAAGGCGAUGAUCAGUAGCCGGUCUGAGAGGAUGAACGGCCACAUUGGGACUGAGACACGGCCCAGACUCCUACGGGAGGCAGCAGUGGGGAAUCUUCCGCAAUGGACGAAAGUCUGACGGAGCAACGCCGCGUGAGUGAUGACGGCCUUCGGGUUGUAAAGCUCUGUUAAUCGGGACGAAAGGCCUUCUUGCGAAUAGUUAGAAGGAUGA
This 474-nucleotide ribosomal RNA is filed under the name uncultured bacterium. RNAcentral describes it as "bacterial SSU rRNA". It matches the Rfam family "Bacterial small subunit ribosomal RNA", at positions 28 to 472 of the family's 1533-position model. The record is from RNAcentral.